AAGAAAGUGACAGAGUGGUGAUGUGGUUGGCUUGAAACCAACAUAUGGGGGUUCGAUUCCUCCCUUUCUCG
Molecule: transfer RNA, 71 nt
Filed under: Atherina boyeri (big-scale sand smelt)
Lineage: Eukaryota; Metazoa; Chordata; Actinopteri; Atheriniformes; Atherinidae
Description: tRNA-Ser
Rfam family: tRNA
About the family: Transfer RNA (tRNA) molecules are approximately 80 nucleotides in length. Their secondary structure includes four short double-helical elements and three loops (D, anti-codon, and T loops). Further hydrogen bonds mediate the characteristic L-shaped molecular structure. tRNAs have two regions of fundamental functional importance: the anti-codon, which is responsible for specific mRNA codon recognition, and the 3' end, to which the tRNAs corresponding amino acid is attached (by aminoacyl-tRNA synthetases). tRNAs cope with the degeneracy of the genetic code in two manners: having more than one tRNA (with a specific anti-codon) for a particular amino acid; and 'wobble' base-pairing, i.e. permitting non-standard base-pairing at the 3rd anti-codon position.
Source: RNAcentral